GUUCCUUCUUCAAGACAAGUAGAAAGCUGCCGUUGGAGACAGCCAAUUAGAAGAGCCUAUGAAGUCACCGCUGAACAGAAGUAAACAGUCCCAGUGUGAGGCAAAGCAAAGCUUCCCACAGUAGGCAAGGGGCACCACCGACCUUUGGUCUGUUUUCCACCCUGUUUGCUGUAUGAGAAACUCGGCGAUGGUAUUGGCUACUCUUAAACUUAAAUUGUCGAAACUGGUUUGCUGAGACAAAGGUCGCGGGAAAACUCAUGCACAGAAAUCAAAAGGCAAGACGGCUUUUGACAUGGAUUCUGAAGAUCUGAUCUACGGUCCUCAUUCUUCUGUGGCAAGUAGAACCACUGAAUCAUCUCCCAGCCCUCAUUAGAAAUUUAUUGACACAUCAGAGAGGGCAUCAUAGAAAGUUACUUUGGUCAGUGAUCAAUGUACAAUGAAUAUAUGCAAAUUACAAAACAACAGUAAUGACUAAAGAAUCAAGGAUCCUAAGAGCUGGAGAAAUAGCUCAGUGCUUAAGAGCUCUAUCUACUAUUUCAGAAGACAUCGGUUUAAUUCCCAGCAUCCUUACAGCAGCUCAUAAGGUACACCUUCGUUCAGAGUUAAUUCAAUGUUCUUAUUAUUCUGAUUACAAAAGAAAAAUUCCAAUCACAGGAUUCACUGUGCCUUUAUUCCUGAAUGGAUUCACCAGAUUAUGCCACUGUGUCCUUCACAAGGAAUUUCAAACGUGGACGGUGGUGUGGCUCUCUCGAAGCCUUAUGCUUCUUGCUGUAAGGAACACAGAAGAACAGCUUCCAGGGUAUUUGGCCAGUACCAAAUGACCAACAGUCAGAAGUGCUGAGAUGGCCCCUGCCAGGGAAAAAGGCUGGAUUGGACUUAUUAAGUGAAAAACAACUCUCUGGUUAAUAAAAUAAAUUUAUUAUAACAAA
Molecule: non-coding RNA, 929 nt
Organism: Rattus norvegicus (Norway rat)
Lineage: Eukaryota; Metazoa; Chordata; Mammalia; Rodentia; Muridae
Source: RefSeq, a predicted model, not a curated record